Molecule: ribosomal RNA, 720 nt
Filed under: Triticum aestivum (bread wheat)
Lineage: Eukaryota; Viridiplantae; Streptophyta; Magnoliopsida; Poales; Poaceae
Description: partial small subunit ribosomal RNA
Source: RNAcentral
AUGUGUGCAAUGAAGAAGAAGGGAGGUAUGGGAUUUAGAGACCUUCAUAGCUUUAACCUUGCUAUGUUAGCAAAGCAGUGUUGGUGACUGAUCCAGAAUCCCGACUCUUUGUGUGCAUGUGUUCUAAGUGCAAAACACUGUCCUGAUGGUAAUGUUCUGAGAGCUGGCCCAAAUAAAGGGUCCUCGUUUACAUGGCAAAGUUUGGUUGCUGGGAUACAAACUUUCAAGAGGGUAUGUAUUUGGCAAGUGGGCAUUGGUUCAAAUAUUAACAUUUGGGAUGACCCAUUGAUCCCAUCAAGUCCAACAAGGAAGAUUAUCACCCCUAGAGGUGGAAUCAUGUUGUCAAAGGUGCAAGAGAUAAUUGACCCGCAUACGGGUCAGUGGGAUGAAGGACUAAUUCAGAGCGUGUUCUCGCCAGUUGAUGUACGCGGAAUAUUACAAAUUCAACUACAUGUUGAAGCACUAGAGGAUUUUGUGGCAUGUCACUAUACAAAGUCUGGAACCUUCUCAGUACGCUCCACGUAUCACUUAGAAUUUGACCAUCAGUUCGGUCGCCACUCUGCAAAUUCAAACAGUCCAGGGAGUGCUCAACUUAGCAGGGUUUGGAAGGAGAUAUGGCAUCUUUGGUUUACUUGCGGGCAGACCCAUACCCUUGAUCCUACAAUGCCCGAUAUGCAAAAUUGGUUUGGAGGACAUUCAACAUUUUUUGUUCACAUGUGA